AUGGGUAGGUCGGAUCCUGGGCUGUCCCCCAGCGCCCUGUGCUCCCGGGCCUGUGCUGUUUGAUUCAUUCUCCCGGCCAGGCAGCCCCCU
RNAcentral lists this microRNA precursor (90 nucleotides) under Canis lupus familiaris (dog). RNAcentral's name for it is "mir-8799 microRNA precursor family". It matches the Rfam family "mir-8799 microRNA precursor family". RNAcentral also lists the same sequence under 1 other name. Lineage: Eukaryota; Metazoa; Chordata; Mammalia; Carnivora; Canidae. The record is from Rfam by way of RNAcentral.